AAGCUCGUAGUUGAAUUUCGGGAUCAAUAUUUCGGUCAUGCCGUUGGUAUGCACUGUUAUCAUUGAUUUCUCACCUUCUAAAGAACCGUAAUGCCAUUAAUUUGGUGUUACGGGGAAUUAGGACUGUUACCUUGAAAAAAUUAGAGUGUUUAAAGCAGGCUCACGCUUGAAUACGUUAGCAUGGAAUAAUGAAAUAGGACAUCCGAUUCUAUUUUGUUGGUUUCUAGGAUCACCGUAAUGAUUAAUAGGGAUAGUUGGG
Molecule: ribosomal RNA, 259 nt
Filed under: uncultured Glomeromycotina
Lineage: Eukaryota; Fungi; Glomeromycota
Description: partial 18S ribosomal RNA
Rfam family: Eukaryotic small subunit ribosomal RNA
Source: RNAcentral